UACGUAGGGUGCGAGCGUUGUCCGGAAUUACUGGGCGUAAAGAGCUCGUAGGUGGUUUGUCGCGUUGUCCGUGAAAACUCACAACUCAAUUGUGGGCGUGCGGGCGAUACGGGCAGACUGGAGUACUGCAGGGGAGACUGGAAUUCCUGGUGUAGCGGUGGAAUGCGCAGAUAUCGGGAAGAACACCUAUGGCGGAGGCAGCUCUCUGGGACGGUACUGACGCUGAGGCGCGAAGGCGUGGGGAGCGAACGGG
RNAcentral lists this ribosomal RNA (253 nucleotides) under uncultured bacterium. RNAcentral describes it as "partial 16S ribosomal RNA". It matches the Rfam family "Bacterial small subunit ribosomal RNA", at positions 524 to 776 of the family's 1533-position model. The record is from RNAcentral.